Molecule: ribosomal RNA, 565 nt
Filed under: uncultured bacterium
Lineage: Bacteria
Description: partial 16S ribosomal RNA
Rfam family: Bacterial small subunit ribosomal RNA
Source: RNAcentral
UGGGGAAUCUUAGACAAUGGGGGAAACCCUGAUCUAGCCAUGCCGCGUGAGCGAUGAAGGCCUUAGGGUUGUAAAGCUCUUUCAGCUGGGAAGAUAAUGACGGUACCAGCAGAAGAAGCCCCGGCUAACUCCGUGCCAGCAGCCGCGGUAAUACGGAGGGGGCUAGCGUUGUUCGGAAUUACUGGGCGUAAAGCGCACGUAGGCGGAUUUAGUCAGUCAGAGGUGAAAUCCCAGGGCUCAACCCUGGAACUGCCUUUGAUACUGCUAGUCUUGAGGUCGAGAGAGGUGAGUGGAAUUCCGAGUGUAGAGGUGAAAUUCGUAGAUAUUCGGAGGAACACCAGUGGCGAAGGCGGCUCACUGGCUCGAUACUGACGCUGAGGUGCGAAAGCGUGGGGAGCAAAACAGGAUUAGAUACCCUGGUAGUCCACGCCGUAAACGUGAAUGCCAGUCGUCGGGUUGCAUGCAAUUCGGUGACACACCCUAACGGGAUUAAAGCAUUCCGCCUGGGGAGUACGGUCGCAAGAUUAAAACUCAAAUGAAUUGACGGGGUCAUAGCUGUUUCCUG